Non-coding RNA from Sus scrofa (pig), 2697 nucleotides. The record is from RefSeq and is a predicted model, not a curated record. NCBI's taxonomy places the organism in Eukaryota, Metazoa, Chordata, Mammalia, Artiodactyla, Suidae.
GUUUGGUUGUACAGAAGCUACCGUGUAGCCUAGACUCACCUACAACUCUUCCUGCUGCCCCUAGGAAAUACAGAAUCUAGACCAAAGAGCUUUUUGGUCUUUCUUUACUUUUCCAAGAGAGGGACUUUCACUCUUAAAAGAGACUCUUGCAUUUCUUUUUCCUGUUCAACAAGUGUGUUAUCUAGUUAUCUGUUUGUGGUGCUCAGGUCAGUUUUUGGCAGGGAGUACACCUUGAGCCCUGAAGCCUGCCUUCCUUAGGGUAUGGAUUCAGUUUAUUUCCAUUAUCUGCUUAAUCAGGAACCUGCGUGGUGGUGCCUAGACGGCUUUUCACCUCAGUCCUUGUUUGCCGUAUGGAGGUUGUUGUUAACAACUAUCCUCUCCCUCAUACUCUUCUUGUCAGACGUAAUUGUUGAAUAGUUGAUGAGAAUAUACUUUUAUAAUAAUUUUUUGUGGAUUGGAAGUCCGCGCAGUCAUCGACAAAGCAUCUGAACAGUUGUAAAAUGUUCACUUUGCGGCAUUUUCGCGUUCCUAAUGUCCUUUUAAAGAGGGAGAGUCAGCUUUCAGUAUAUGCAGUGAGUUUGCCAUCCCUGGUUACUAUGAAAAGAAGAUUGAGGAGGUUUCACUGCUAUAUCCAGAUUUGCUUAAAACAGUCUAUUUCUGAUUUUAGGAAGACGGAGACUGCCGUCUGAAGUUGGAAUAAUAAUUUGUGCUAUCACUAAUCCAGCCUCCCUUGAUGAAAUGGCUGAACAGGCAGUGGCGGUCCUCAAUUGUGUCAGACCAGAGUUUGGGUUUCUAAUACCACACGUUGAGUGAUGUGUCUGUGCUGUUAUCUUCAACCACCAUCCCAUUGAAAAUCCUCCAGGAGAGCCCAGUCCUGCCGAAAAGAUCACAUUCAGUCUUGAGAGCAUGAUACACAGGGUCGUUCCGGAUCUGGCCCACGCUCCACUCUGGCCUACUCUCUGGUUCGGGUAUCCUGACCAGACCAGCCCUCUUUUUUUUUUUUUUUGCACUUUUACAAACAGUUUUUCCUUUAUUUGGAUUUUCUUUUCCCUGGAAAAUCCUACUGUUCUUCUGAAUUCAACUCCCAUCAUCUCUUCUCUAAAACGUCGGUGCGUUUUCAGUUGGAGGUGGCCAGUUUCUUAUUGCAGAGAACUCAACAGUUAUUCCAUUCCUUUCCUGGGAGCAGAUGUGUCUGUUGUGAAGCAGACUCAGCGUUACUUGCGUGAAAAUUUAGAGCAGUCACCUGUUCAGUAUGCUGCUUAUGUAACUAUGGGAGGCGUCACCUCUAUUAUUAAGACAAUGUUUGCUGGACUUUUUUUUAUUAUUCUUUGUGAGGUUUGGCAUUGGAAGGCAACUUCUUGUAAAGUUCCCAUGGCUCUUUUCCUUUUUGGUUAUUUUUCAAAGCAAGGUCCAACACAAAAACAGGUGGAGUGGGGAACACACACCUCGUUCCUGUCUUCAAGCAACCUAGGAUCUAUUCUGCAGACAAAACAUGGAUCCAUCCAAAAGAAACACACGACAAUGUUGUGGAGGCCAGUGGGAGUGAGAAGACCGAAGAGGAGGCCCCAGCCAGGGAAAAUGAGGAGGAGGAAGGCUCGCCCAAUAACAAGGUGGAGGAGGAGGCCACAACAAGUGGAAAUAACCAGGAGGAGUCCCCAGCCAGCGACAGGGCCGAGCAAGAAGCCCAGACUGCCCCCAAGGUGGAUGGGAUGGAUGAUGAAAGCCCAACCCUCGAUGAUGUUGUGGAGGCCGGCGGGAGUGAGAAGACCUAGGUUGAGGCCCUGGCUGGGGCAAAUGAGGAGGAGGCGGGGCCGGGAACUGAGAAGGUGCAGGAGGAGGCUGCCUGCAUUGACGAGGCAGAAGAGGAGGCGGGCCCAUCCCUUGAAAAUGACGAGGAGUCCCCAGCCAGCGACCUGGUUGAGCAGGACGACCAGCUUGUCCCCAAGGUGGACGGGAUGGACGAUGAAAGCCGCUGUUCAGAGAAAGCUUGGCUUCUUUUCAAAUGCUGAAACAAUCUCAGAGGCAUCAGAGAUGUCAAGAGUGGUGAUAAUUGUGCUGUGCAGGUCACUGUGUUGGUUCUGCUUCUUUAGCAAGAUUGGAUUUUAUUGACCCAGACACAGUGGGAGUCCAUGCAGUCAUCAUGAUUUCUAAUUUAAAGAUAGAAAAAACAGGAAUCCUCAUUGUCUGAUUUGCACCUCCAGGUCCUGAAAGUGAUAAGAGAAAGUCUGGGCCCCUUCCUUGGCACAUGGCUCAUUGCAGCAAAGACAAACAGCCCCUGAAGUCAUUGGACUCCUUUAAUCAUAUCUGUGAAGUAGGGCCUGAGGAUCCCAGGAUCUCUGGUUUGGACAGCACUGGAGGGGGCAUCAAUGGCAGCUGUUGAGGCAGUGCACAAGCCCAAAGCACAACUUUUGAAUUCUACUCCCAGACGUGUUCUUCCCAUUUCUGUACAGAUGGCAUCUUCAGUGUGGAGGCCGUUUCAGCAUCUCCAUUGCCUUGGUGAGUUCAGCUUGAUGGUCAGCUUCCAUCUCCAUGUUGUAUUGCCUCAUGGUCACUCAAGGGGGCACCACUGUCAUAAAGUCAUCUGAUGUUACCACUUGUAAGAGCUGGGAGUAUGGGGUGACUGUUUCCUUAUCUCAGUCUUGGGAACUAGCUAUUGACUGUUAGUGUGAUGCUUUGUGAGUCCAUUGCCUUGAGGCC